CUAACACGUGUACAGCUGAAAAAGAACCAUAUACUGUCUUCCACAAACAUAAUCUCUCUCCUCCAACUCUCAAAGCUAACUCCGAUUUCCGUUGUUUAUCCAAAAGCUCUUCCCGCAAAUUAGGGAGUGGAAGAUUUGGAUUGAUGGGUAGAACUCCAUUGGAUACUAUUAUACUCUAAGGUACUCAUCUGAUGCUUUAAAUACUGUUAGAUGCCAAGAAUUAUGUAAGAAGAAUACGGGAUCUGAGUCGAUGAAACAUAGAGGUAGAGCAGGGAUGGCUACUAUGCUGGCAGACAAUGCUUGAGUAUAAUUUCGUUUCUUCCGUUUGUUUAACUAAUGUAAUGUUAGAAAAUUUAGUUAUUGGAGGAUUUUAUUGUUUUGAUUUAAGGAAGGGGAUUUGAGUAUAGGGAUGCGUGCAUCAAACACUGAGAAAUUUGUUAGGUGUGAUAAGUCUAUAGUUUAGAAAAUGGAAAGGAAAUAUCAUUUCUUUUGUUAAUUCUUUUUUAAAGGAACCCCAAAAUCAUUAGAUUUUAAUCCAAGUGGAUAGGGUUACAAGAACAACUGAUGAGCAUCUGGUCCUGAACUUCAUUUUAGUUUUGCAGGUAUCCAUAUAUUCUGUGUGCAAGCAUUUGCAUACCCGUGACUAGAGAGGCUUGUAUUGAAAAUCCUUUGGAAUGGAGAUUGCUACUGCAAGGUAGGCUUUCGUGAC
Long non-coding RNA from Hibiscus syriacus, 709 nucleotides. RefSeq lists it as uncharacterized. The record is from RefSeq and is a predicted model, not a curated record. The transcript is spliced from 3 exons. Lineage: Eukaryota; Viridiplantae; Streptophyta; Magnoliopsida; Malvales; Malvaceae.